UACGGAGGGAGCUAGCGUUGUUCGGAAUUACUGGACGUAAAGCGCGCGUAGGCGGCUUUGUAAGUUAGAGGUGAAAGCCCGGGGCUCAACCCCGGAACUGCCUUUAAGACUGCAUCGCUUGAAUCCGGGAGAGGUGAGUGGAAUUCCGAGUGUAGAGGUGAAAUUCGUAGAUAUUCGGAAGAACACCAGUGGCGAAGGCGGCUCACUGGACCGGUAUUGACGCUGAGGUGCGAAAGCGUGGGGAGCAAACAGG
This 253-nucleotide ribosomal RNA is filed under the name uncultured bacterium. RNAcentral describes it as "partial 16S ribosomal RNA". It matches the Rfam family "Bacterial small subunit ribosomal RNA", at positions 524 to 776 of the family's 1533-position model. The record is from RNAcentral.